Temnothorax curvispinosus is the source of this 637-nucleotide long non-coding RNA. RefSeq lists it as uncharacterized. The record is from RefSeq and is a predicted model, not a curated record. The transcript has 4 exons. NCBI's taxonomy places the organism in Eukaryota, Metazoa, Arthropoda, Insecta, Hymenoptera, Formicidae.
AGGAGGAGGCCUGGGAGAGGCAUCGGGCGCCAGCUUACCAAGUUUACUGAUUCGUUCAAGGUGUGCCUCGGAGGAGCACCUCGCUUCUAUUCGAUCGAGAUGAAGGAGUUUGAUCUCUCCUCGAAGUCGCUAACAGGAAACCUCACGUCCGUUCUUCUCGGACACAUGCCGCAAUAAAUCGAUACGAUGCAUGUGCAUUCGUGUUCAUACUAAUUGGAAUGCUACGUGCGCCUGUUGGAAUUCAGGUCGAGUUGGGCCGAGCGCGUAUCUUAUGCUCCAUCGACGUUUUGUAAAAGUACCCCUUUUCCUGAGUAUACAUCAGUUAUGACUCAAUCGGAUCGAUGGCGAAGUCUCUUCCAAAAACGUAAUCCCUGAAAUGUCAACUAUUAAAAGAUAAGACAUUCUAUACAUGUCUGGCGAAUGGAAUUUAAGCAGAAUGACGGGGCGUGUAAUGAAUGAAUGACAUUUAGAAUAUGGAUUUUGUCAUCGCUAUGUCGGCGAAGAAUUUAAGUCGACAAGAGGUCGACCGUCCGAGAAAGGACAGGAGUCGAUCAACCGAGAUCUAUGGAACCGCGAAUGCGAACGAUUCUUAUAAAAGCGUAGUCGACUUUAGCGAGGAUCCGAUGAGCAGGAGAAA